Molecule: ribosomal RNA, 1242 nt
Filed under: metagenome
Description: bacterial LSU rRNA
Rfam family: Bacterial large subunit ribosomal RNA
Source: RNAcentral
UGAGUACGAGAUGCUACGGCAUCGAAGCAGUCUAUGUCAUACUUCCAAGAAAAGCUUGCAAUGUCAUAAACAAAUAAUGCCUGUACCAUAACCGACACAGGUGGGUAGGUAGAGUAUACUAAGGGGCGCGAGAUAACUCUCUCUAAGGAACUCGGCAAAAUGACUCCGUAACUUCGGGAGAAGGAGUGCCUUAUUUUUAUAAGGUUGCAAUAACAAGAUCCAAGCAACUGUUUACCAAAAACACAGGUCUCCGCUAAGUCGUAAGACGAUGUAUGGGGGCUGACGCCUGCCCAGUGCCAGAAGGUUAAAGAAGUUGGUUAGCAUUAGCGAAGCUGAUAACUGAAGCCCUGGUGAACGGCGGCCGUAACUAUAACGGUCCUAAGGUAGCGAAAUUCCUUGUCGGGUAAGUUCCGACCCGCACGAAAGGCGUAAUGAUUUGGAUACUGUCUCGGAGAGGGGCUCGGUGAAAUAGACUUGUCUGUGAAGAUGCGGACUACCUGCACCUGGACAGAAAGACCCUAUGAAGCUUUACUGUAACUUGAGAAAAAUUGGACUUUAUCUGCGCAGUAUAGGUGGGAGACGUUGAAAAUAUUCUUGCGGGAAUAUUGGAGUCAUCAGUGAGAUACCACUCUUAUAAUGUUAGAUUUCUAACUUUGUAUCAUUACCUGGUCAAAGAACAGUUUCAGGCGGGCAGUUUGACUGGGGCGGUCGCCUCCCAAACGGUAACGGAGGCGCACAAAGGUUUCCUCUGAACGUGUAGAAAUCGUAUCUAGAGUGUAAAGGCAUAAGGAAGCUUGACUGUGAGACCUACAAGUCGAGCAGGGACGAAAGUCGGUCUUAGUGAUCUGACGGUGCUGAGUGGAAAGGCCGUCACUCAACGGAUAAAAGUUACUCUAAGGAUAACAGGCUGAUCUCCCCCAAGAGUUCACAUCGACGGGGAGGUUUGGCACCUCGAUGUCGGCUCAUCGCAUCCUGGGGCGGUAGUACGUCCCAAGGGUUGGGCUGUUCGCCCAUGAAAGCGGUACGCGAGCUGGGUUCAGAACGUCGUGAGACAGUUCGGUCCAUAUCCGGUGUAGGCGUUAGAAUAUUGAGAGGAGCCUUCUUUAGUACGAGAGGACCGAGAAGGACAUACCUCUGGUGUACCAGUUAUCGUGCCAACGGUAAACGCUGGGUAGCCAUGUAUGGAGAGGAUAACCGCUGAAAGCAUCUAAGUGGGAAGCCCACCUCAAGAUAAGUAUUCUC